This 1498-nucleotide ribosomal RNA is filed under the name metagenome. RNAcentral describes it as "bacterial SSU rRNA". It matches the Rfam family "Bacterial small subunit ribosomal RNA". The record is from RNAcentral.
AGAGUUUGAUCCUGGCUCAGAACGAACGCUGGCGGCGCGUCUUAAGCAUGCAAGUCGAGCGGCAAGGAUAGCAAUAUCCCUAGAGCGGCGGACUGGUGAGUAACGCGUGGGUGAUCUACCUCGGGGCUGGGGAUAGCUCGUGGAAACACGUGGUAAUACCGAAUAAGUUCUUUUGACUUUCGUUGAAAGAGGAAAGGCGCGAUUGCGCCGCCCUGAGAUGAGCCUGCGUCCAAUUAGCUAGUUGGUGGGGUAAUGGCCUACCAAGGCGAUGAUGGGUAGCCGGCCUGAGAGGGUGUACGGCCACAUUGGGACUGAGAUACGGCCCAAACUCCUACGGGAGGCAGCAGCUAAGAAUAUUCCGCAAUGGACGAAAGUCUGACGGAGCGACGCCGCGUGGAUGACGAAGGCCGUGAGGUUGUAAAAUCCUUUUAUUGGGGAAGAAUAAGCAUGGGAGGAAAUGCCUGAGUGAUGACAUGAACCGAUGAAUAAGCCCCGGCUAACUACGUGCCAGCAGCCGCGGUAACACGUAGGGGGCAAGCGUUGUUCGGAAUUAUUGGGCGUAAAGGGCAUGUAGGCGGUUACUCAAGCCUGGCGUGAAAUCCCGUAGCUUAACUACGGAAUCGCGUCGGGAACUGUGUGACUUGAAUCGUGGAGAGGGAGCUAGAAUUCCAGGUGUAGGGGUGAAAUCUGUAGAUAUCUGGAAGAAUACCGGUGGCGAAGGCGAGCUCCUGGCCAAUGAUUGACGCUGAGGUGCGAAAGCGUGGGGAUCAAACAGGAUUAGAGACCCUGGUAGUCCACGCCAUCAACGAUGUGCACUGGGUGUUGGAGCAGAAGCUUCAGUGCCGUAGCUAACGCGAUAAGUGCACCGCCUGGGGAGUAUGCUCGCAAGGGUGAAACUCAAAGGAAUUGACGGGACCCCGCACAAGCGGUGGAGCAUGUGGUUUAAUUCGAUCGUACGCGAGGAACCUUACCUGGGUUUGACAUAUGGUGGAAUACGGUAGAGAUACCGUAGUCCCGCAAGGGACCGCUAUACAGGUGCUGCAUGGCUGUCGUCAGCUCGUGCCGUGAGGUGUUGGGUUAAGUCCCGCAACGAGCGCAACCCCUACUGCCAGUUACUAACAGGUAACGCUGAGGACUCUGGCGGAACUGCCGGUGACAAACCGGAGGAAGGUGGGGAUGACGUCAAGUCAUCAUGGCCCUUAUGUCCAGGGCUACACACGUGCUACAAUGGGCGGUACAGAGUGAUGCGAAGCCGCGAGGUGAAGCAAAUCGCAGAAAACCGCCCGUAGUUCGGAUUGAAGUCUGAAACUCGACUUCAUGAAGUUGGAAUCGCUAGUAAUCGCGCAUCAGCACGGCGCGGUGAAUACGUUCCCGGGGUUUGUACACACCGCCCGUCACACCAUCCGAGCUGAAGGUACCCGAAGCAGUUAGUUUAACCAGCAAUGGAGAACGAUUUCUAAGGUAUGUUUGGUAAGGAGGGUGAAGUCGUAACAAGGUA